GGGGCUAUAGCUCAGUUGGGAGAGCGCUGCACUCGCAUUGCAGAGGUCAGCGGUUCGAAUCCGCUUAGCUCCA
Molecule: transfer RNA, 73 nt
Filed under: Candidatus Zhuqueibacterota bacterium
Lineage: Bacteria; Pseudomonadati
Description: candidate division KSB1 bacterium tRNA-Ala
Rfam family: tRNA
About the family: Transfer RNA (tRNA) molecules are approximately 80 nucleotides in length.
Source: RNAcentral